RNAcentral lists this ribosomal RNA (450 nucleotides) under uncultured bacterium. RNAcentral describes it as "partial 16S ribosomal RNA". It matches the Rfam family "Bacterial small subunit ribosomal RNA", at positions 354 to 796 of the family's 1533-position model. The record is from RNAcentral.
GUGGGGAAUUUUGGACAAUGGGCGCAAGCCUGAUCCAGCAAUGCCGCGUGUGUGAAGAAGGCCUUCGGGUUGUAAAGCACUUUUGUCCGGAAAGAAAUGGCCUGGGUUAAUACCCCGGGUCGAUGACAGUACCGGAAGAAUAAGCACCGGCUAACUACGUGCCAGCAGCCGCGGUAAUACGUAGGGUGCGAGCGUUAAUCGGAAUUACUGGGCGUAAAGCGUGCGCAGGCGGCGAUGCAAGACAGAUGUGAAAUCCCCGGGCUCAACCUGGGAACUGCAUUUGUGACUGCAUGGCUAGAGUGCGUCAGAGGGGGGUGGAAUUCCGCGUGUAGCAGUGAAAUGCGUAGAGAUGCGGAGGAACACCGAUGGCGAAGGCAGCCCCCUGGGAUGACACUGACGCUCAUGCACGAAAGCGUGGGGAGCAAACAGGAUUAGAAACCCCGGUAGUCC